Vespula vulgaris is the source of this 603-nucleotide long non-coding RNA. RefSeq lists it as uncharacterized. The transcript has 2 exons. NCBI's taxonomy places the organism in Eukaryota, Metazoa, Arthropoda, Insecta, Hymenoptera, Vespidae. The record is from RefSeq and is a predicted model, not a curated record.
UUUUCUUAAUCAACUUUUCGUCUUUGAAACGUUCCCUUUUAUAGCACAAAUCGCAAAAGAGACGGUUAAUCCGAAUUUCUAUAUACGUAUUUGAUGAGAAUGAGAGCAAGUAAACGACAAGGACAAGAUUGGAUCCUUUUCUAUCUUCUCUCCUUGGGAAAGCAAAUGGACUGUAGAAAAGUAGAAAAGAAAAUCUUCAAGAUUCGAUGAAAAGUUGACUCUGAAGGUGAAAGGAAAUCUUUGAAAGGGAAUCAUUGAAGGAGAAAAACGUACUACAAUUUAUUGCUUUCUUCAAAUCUAAGAAAAUAGUUAUCUCGUCUUAUCAAAAGCAAACUUUUCAUCGAUUUACGAUUACACUACUUCCAUUUUCCUUUAAUCUAUUCAAACUUAUAUUCCAUUAUGUUCCAUUAUUUCUUUCGGUACAUUUAUGUAACUCUCUAUUAUUAUACCAUACGUAUAUGAAAAUACGAAAAUAUGUGGACAAAGUUUAAAUUUGUUAUAUAAUAUUUUUUUUACGAUAUUACUUAAGUUGAUGUCUAAGUCAUACUACAGCGUAUCACAUUUCAAAAUCAUCAAAACCACAUUACGAUGUUACGAUAUCGU